This 587-nucleotide ribosomal RNA is filed under the name uncultured archaeon. RNAcentral's name for it is "bacterial SSU rRNA". It matches the Rfam family "Archaeal small subunit ribosomal RNA", at positions 40 to 633 of the family's 1478-position model. The record is from RNAcentral.
GGUAUAGGCCAUGCGAGUCAUUGUAGCAUACAAGGCGGAUGGCUCAGUAACACGUAGUCAACCUAACUCGUGGACGUGGAUAACCUCGGGAAACUGAGAAUAAACCACGAUAGAUCAUAGUGCCUGGAAUGGCUUAUGGUCCAAACAGUUUACUGCCAUGGGAUGGGACUGCGGCCUAUCAGCUUGUUGGUGAGGUAAUGGCCCACCAAGGCGAUUACAGGUACGGGCUCUGAGAGGAGAAGCCCGGAGAUGGGUACUGAGACACGGACCCAGGCCCUAUGGGGCGCAGCAGGCGAGAAACCUUAGCAAUGUGCGAAAGCACGACUGGGUCAGUCCGAGUGAUUCCUGAUAAAGGAGUCUUUUGCUUGUCCUAAAAGCACAGGUGAAUAAGGGGUGGGCAAGUCUGGUGUCAGCCGCCGCGGUAAUACCAGCACCUCGAGUGGUCAGGACGUUUAUUGGGCCUAAAGCAUCCGUAGCCGGCUCUGCAAGUCUUCGGUUAAAUCCACCUGCUCAACAGAUGGGCUGCUGGAGAUACUACAGAGCUAGGGAGUGGGAGAGGCCAGACGGUAUUUCAGUGGGUUAGGGGU